Molecule: long non-coding RNA, 1065 nt
Organism: Triticum aestivum (bread wheat)
Lineage: Eukaryota; Viridiplantae; Streptophyta; Magnoliopsida; Poales; Poaceae
Exons: 9
Source: RefSeq, a predicted model, not a curated record
UGAGGCGCUGGUAUGAGGAAAGGUGCAGGAAGGUCGGAGUUCCAGGCGGUGCUGGCCGUCGUCACAUGUCCCCAGUCUAGAUCUAAGAAAAAAGAGAAGGGGAUGAAUCUGGAGGAAGAGCUUGGUGAAGAACAAGGUGUUCGUAAUGGCAACGGUGGUAAUCAACGAUGAGAAAAAAGGACCGAGAUUGUAUUUGUACUAGCAGGUGAUGCCUUAAUUUAGUUCAUGGCAUUAUGGCGGGACGCAUGUGGUAAAUGGUUACAAUGGUGGCUCAUGGAGUUAAAAUUUUGUGUUCUGUACAGAUUUGAGAUGAUAGAAAUUCAAAAUAGUCCUAAUUUUCAGAUCAUGACCACAGCUUGCGGAGUUUCAAAAUCUAAUAUCUCUAAUUUCCGCAUCAAGCUAAGUGGUCCCGUUGUUUAGCAUGGGUCCUUUGCUACUGUUGGUUGUGUCCUUGCUUCUUGGAGAGGAGGGAGGGCAAAUGACUUUGAUGCCAGAAAUAGGGGAGGAACAUAAGGUCAAGUAUCCAUGUUGUUUGGUACCUUAUAGAAGAUGCAUUACGCAAUGGUCUCGGCAACUGCAGCGAGAUUUCACAGUCACGAUUUUUCCAUAUUGGUAUGGAUUCUAAAACCUUAUAGGAAAAUGCCAUCUUUCACAAAAUGAAACUAUGCCUACAGAGCUGCUGAGGGAUGCCCUGUAGUGGACUGGCUGAGACUGUCGAGCAUCAGGUUGCAAAUCUCCAGAGGUACAAGGGGCUCAUUGGUAGCCUGGCCUGCUUUUGGUAUAUCAAUGAGGACAUCCCUGACGUAAAUUCGUUUCGUGACAGUGGGUGAUUGAGAAAGGAGCCCAAGCAGAAGGCAGAACACAGAUGGAGCAGUUGACUUGUUCUUGUUCAUUUCCCUUUCCGCAACGAAUAGAAUCCAAUUAAUUAAUUUGGGUGUAUGCUGAUUGAGAUAGUUAAUCAAUUGGGUAUGUAGACCAUGGUGUUGGUAGGUAAGUCUAAACUCCUCUGCAUUUGCCUUUUUUCUACCUGAUGAAUAUUCAGACUACUGAUGUUGCAUACGGAGG